UGGGGAAUAUUGGACAAUGGGCGCAAGCCUGAUCCAGCCAUGCCGCGUGAGUGAUGAAGGCCCUAGGGUUGUAAAGCUCUUUCACCGGUGAAGAUAAUGACGGUAACCGGAGAAGAAGCCCCGGCUAACUUCGUGCCAGCAGCCGCGGUAAUACGAAGGGGGCUAGCGUUGUUCGGAUUUACUGGGCGUAAAGCGCACGUAGGCGGACUUUUAAGUCAGGGGUGAAAUCCCGGGGCUCAACCCCGGAACUGCCUUUGAUACUGGAAGUCUGGAGUAGGGAAGAGGGGAGUGGAAUUCCGGGUGUAGAGGUGAAAUUCGUGGAUAUGCGGAGGAACACCAGUGGCGAAGGCGGCUCACAGGACCAUUACUGACGCUAAGGUGCGAAAGCGUGGGGAGCAAACAGG
This 404-nucleotide ribosomal RNA is filed under the name Actinomycetes bacterium. Its description in RNAcentral is "Actinobacteria bacterium partial 16S ribosomal RNA". It matches the Rfam family "Bacterial small subunit ribosomal RNA", at positions 355 to 776 of the family's 1533-position model. The record is from RNAcentral. Lineage: Bacteria; Bacillati; Actinomycetota; Actinomycetes.